Molecule: transfer RNA, 72 nt
Filed under: Mesitornis unicolor (brown roatelo)
Lineage: Eukaryota; Metazoa; Chordata; Aves; Mesitornithiformes; Mesitornithidae
Rfam family: tRNA
About the family: Transfer RNA (tRNA) molecules are approximately 80 nucleotides in length. Their secondary structure includes four short double-helical elements and three loops (D, anti-codon, and T loops).
Source: Rfam by way of RNAcentral
UCCUUGUUAGUAUAGUGGUGAGUAUCUGUGCCUAUCACACGGGAGACCGGGGUUCGAUUCCCCGACAGGGAG